GCGGCCUAUCAGCUUGUUGGUGAGGUAAUGGCUCACCAAGGCAACGACGGGUAGCCGGCCUGAGAGGGCGACCGGCCACACUGGGACUGAGACACGGCCCAGACUCCUACGGGAGGCAGCAGUGGGGAAUAUUGGGCAAUGGAGGAAACUCUGACCCAGCGACGCCGCGUGCGGGAUGAAGGCCUUCGGGUUGUAAACCGCUUUCAGUAGGGAAGAAGCGAAAGUGACGGUACCUACAAAAGAAGCACCGGCUAACUAUGUGCCAGCAGCCGCGGUAAUACAUAGGGUGCAAGCGUUGUCCGGAAUUAUUGGGCGUAAAGAGCUCGUAGGUCGUUUGUUACGUCGGAUGUGAAACCUGAGGCUCAACCUCAGGCCUGCAUUCGAUACGGGCAAACUAGAGUUUGGUAGGGGAGACUGGAAUUCCU
This 425-nucleotide ribosomal RNA is filed under the name uncultured Actinomycetes bacterium. RNAcentral describes it as "bacterial SSU rRNA". It matches the Rfam family "Bacterial small subunit ribosomal RNA", at positions 233 to 671 of the family's 1533-position model. The record is from RNAcentral. Lineage: Bacteria; Bacillati; Actinomycetota; Actinomycetes.